Megalobrama amblycephala (Wuchang bream) is the source of this 1936-nucleotide long non-coding RNA. RefSeq lists it as uncharacterized. The record is from RefSeq and is a predicted model, not a curated record. Lineage: Eukaryota; Metazoa; Chordata; Actinopteri; Cypriniformes; Xenocyprididae. The transcript has 3 exons.
AAAAAGUUAUGUGUUACUAGUUACUUGAAAAAGUAAUCUGAUUACAUAAAGUUAGUUGUAAUGCAUUACCCCCAAUGCUGAAGAUAACUAUAACGAUAACAAUUAGUCUCCAUGAACGAUAUCAACUCUGUAGUUUUGUGCUUGUGCUCUUUAAAAUCAGAUGGACUCUUAUUGGCUGUCAAUGUUUUUAUCCUUCAUCAUUCUGAAAAUGAUUCCAAUGACAUAGUUCUUCUGUACCGUUAUAGUUGUUUUGUGGACAAAUUAACCAUGGUUUUAUUAUGGUAAAAGUGCAGUAACCAUGUUUUUUGGUGGAUUGAUUACCAGUUUUAGUACAAAUACCAUAAACUAUGGUUAAUUAACAUGUUUUAACUACAAUAACCGUGUUUUUUGUAGUAAAACUAUGGUUAAUAUCCGUAAAGACUCCAUAUUCUAUUAGACUUAGAACGAUUAAAACUUAGUGUGAACAGGCCUUUAAGUUGUUUUAUGUGCACACAAGUAAUCAGUAAUAUGUAUAUAUGCCAUUUUAUAUGUAGGUCCAUAUAUAGUAGGCUACAUUGUGAUUGUUGCUUUAUUUUAUUUUUAUUUUGCUUAUUUAUAGUCCUUCAUGUUAUUUAUUUUUCUAUUAUGUUAUUUUUUUUGUGCAAUGGUGACGAUAACUGAGGGUCAAAGCGUCGCUAAUUAAUGAAGUAUUUUAUUGCACUUCAAAUAUUGAGCGCACGCGACCGUCCGGACAGGAGCGCGCGGGUUCGCUAGAGUCGCGGGUCCGCGCUUCCCGCUGUCAGGACGAGAGCUGUCACUUGGCGCAGCCGCUGUUUGUACAGGUGUUUUAGUAAAGAAAACAACGGCAAGACGCUUCCAGUUCAAACACCCACCGCACUCCCGGCCUACUCGAAAAAGACGCGAGGAAAGAAUAAUAUAUGGUGGAAAAUAAUGCGAGAAAAGGGCUGAAGGUUUGACAGAUGAGCAGCGGGUCGUUGGGGAGUUCGAGUCUGUUUCCCGCGCGCGGGCUUUGAGUGAUGGCGUGACUAAUUUGUGGAGUGACCGUUAACGCUGAGGAGAGAUUUCAACUGAACAUCUCAAACUGACAUUUAACACAUGCAAGAAGAAGCAUCUCAAACUGAUCCAACACACACAGUUUACGGACUCGUCGAUUGGACUUCAGCAUCAGGAAGAGUUGUGAAGAGCAGCACAAUCCAGGAUUGAGUCGGUCUUUAAACUCAUAUGAUCCUGUGUAAUCCAGAGACUCAACAGAGACGCACUGCCCCCUGCUGGACACACUGACUUUCUGCUCACAGAAUGAAAUCAUUCACACUAGAAUCAAUAUUUCAGCUGUAUUUAUUGAUUUAUUGUUUGAUUUGAUUUAUUGAUAUGAUAAGUAGCCGCAUGAAUGUCUGUGUUGCUGUGGAGUUUCUGCUCUUCAGCUCCGUUUGUGCGACUGACCCUCAGGAUUAACGGCCGCUCGGGUUGUUGGGUGUUUUGCUUUGGGACGCGUCGUUACGAUGCUGUGAAUCUGUCAGCGGCUCCAGACACGUGCUGUUAUUCUCUCUCACACACACACACUCCUGCUGAAGAGCAGCGGUCACUGACCGUUUAAAGCGGUGCGUGACGAGUCUGGACCGUGUCAGUGUUGUGCAUCACUCAGAACUGAACUGAGAAUGACUUUAAAUCACAGAUCAGUUCUUUCAUUUGAAUCGAGGUGGCAAACAGGACUCAAAAUUGCAAGUUGAAUUAAAAAAAUUAUAUAACUGUAAAAGUGGGAUCAUAAAAAUGUCAUGAUAGUUUUUAUUUAAUACUGCCCUAAAUAAACUAUUUCUCGUAACAAAUGUUUACAGUCCACAAGACAAAAGAACACCUGAAAUUAUAGAAAUGAACUAAAAGUUCAAAAGUUGUUCUGCUUUAGGCAACGACCCAGUAAAGCAUCGCAAUAAUCCAUGAC